This 1124-nucleotide long non-coding RNA is filed under the name Trifolium pratense (red clover). Its description in RNAcentral is "long non-coding RNA (TPRA_LNC006286)". Lineage: Eukaryota; Viridiplantae; Streptophyta; Magnoliopsida; Fabales; Fabaceae. The record is from RNAcentral.
UCCUCUACGACCACCACCCCCAAUAUUAUGAGGAACCACAAAAUCACUAUAAAUCCAAUCUCGAAAUAUUAAUGGAGGAUUUCAUUAAGACUCAAACAAUCUUUAGGCUAGAGUUUGUGGAAGCACAAACUCGCAUAAAUAAAGAAGUAAAUGAAGCUUUCAUGAAGUUAAACACUAAAGUCGAGUCCCUCGCGGCCGAUAGCAAGGCAAUAGAGACUCAAAUCUCUUUGCUUGCACAAGCAUCUCUAGGAUCGUUCACUAAGAAUCAUGUAGACGUCAUAACAACUAAUGAAAGUCAAAUUAAAAAUCUUAAGGAGAGUGAUAAUGAAAUCAAUGAGAAAUCUAAUGAGAAAAGAGUAGAGAUUGCGAAAAUUCCACCGACACCACCUAAAGAGGNNNNNNNNNNNNNNNNNNNNNNNNNNNNNCUCUGAACUUCCCUACAAGAAAAAGAAAAUAAAGAGUGAAGGGUAUGGAAGAUGGGUUGAAAAGUGGCGAUGGAAACCAAAAUUAAUUAGGAGUUUAAUCGGAGAUUUAAUUUCAAAACACCUUUAGAGCUUCUAAAAAGUCGAGCUAACCGACGUUAAACAAAGCGCUGCAUGGGAGGCAACCCAUGAGUUUUCUUUAAUUCUUGUUUAAUUUUUGCUUUCUUUUAUUUAUUUAUUUUUUUUUAUAUAACUAUCUCUGAUGAUCCUGUGACUAAUAGAGCUCCUACGCACAUUUCUCCAAAUGUUGCUGCUGGUGGGGGCGCAAGCAUUGUUCCACCUGCACACACUACACAUUUUUCUAACACUUUUGCAGGUAGUUCCUCCCUAUCAAGGCAAAGCACUAUCGAUGAUGUACUCCAUGAGAUACGCGCCCAAAAUGAAUUAAAUCAAGAGCGCGAUGGAUUAUUUUAUGCCAUGCACCAACAACAAGGGGGGAUGAUGGAACGAAUGACAUUCAUGCAAGCCCAGCAAAACCAAAUUCUUCAAAACCAACAUGAGAUGCAGGGCUAUUAUCAUAGAUGGGAGAGCUCAGAAGAGCACCGUCAACAACAGCUCGACAAUGUCAUACAAGAGCUAGGCGGUUUGAGGCUUCAGUUCAACAAUUUCCAAAAUUAUCAACAGCCUCCCCCAUGAUUUACC